RNAcentral lists this ribosomal RNA (470 nucleotides) under Veillonella parvula. RNAcentral's name for it is "bacterial SSU rRNA". It matches the Rfam family "Bacterial small subunit ribosomal RNA", at positions 28 to 472 of the family's 1533-position model. The record is from RNAcentral. Lineage: Bacteria; Bacillati; Bacillota; Negativicutes; Veillonellales; Veillonellaceae.
GACGAACGCUGGCGGCGUGCUUAACACAUGCAAGUCGAACGAAGAGCGAUGGAAGCUUGCUUCUAUCAAUCUUAGUGGCGAACGGGUGAGUAACGCGUAAUUAACCUGCCCUUCAGAGGGGGACAACAGUUGGAAACGACUGCUAAUACCGCAUACGAUCUAAUCUCGGCAUCGAGGAUAGAUGAAAGGUGGCCUCUACAUGUAAGCUAUCACUGAAGGAGGGGAUUGCGUCUGAUUAGCUAGUUGGAGGGGUAACGGCCCACCAAGGCGAUGAUCAGUAGCCGGUCUGAGAGGAUGAACGGCCACAUUGGGACUGAGACACGGCCCAGACUCCUACGGGAGGCAGCAGUGGGGAAUCUCCGCAAUGGACGAAAGUCUGACGGAGCAACGCCGCGUGAGUGAUGACGGCCUUCGGGUUGUAAAGCUCUGUUAAUCGGGACGAAAGGCCUUCCUGCGAAUAGUGAGAAGGA